Molecule: ribosomal RNA, 722 nt
Filed under: uncultured Fusobacterium sp.
Lineage: Bacteria; Fusobacteriati; Fusobacteriota; Fusobacteriia; Fusobacteriales; Fusobacteriaceae
Description: bacterial SSU rRNA
Rfam family: Bacterial small subunit ribosomal RNA
Source: RNAcentral
GAUGAACGCUGACAGAAUGCUUAACACAUGCAAGUCAACUUGAACUUCGGUUUGGAUGGCGGACGGGUGAGUAACGCGUAAAGAACUUGCCUCACAGAUAGGGACAACAUUUGGAAACGAAUGCUAAUACCUGAUAUUAUGAUUUUAGGGCAUCCUAGGAUUAUGAAAGCUAUAUGCGCUGUGAGAGAGCUUUGCGUCCCAUUAGCUAGUUGGAGAGGUAACGGCUCACCAAGGCGAUGAUGGGUAGCCGGCCUGAGAGGGUGAUCGGCCACAAGGGGACUGAGACACGGCCCUUACUCCUACGGGAGGCAGCAGUGGGGAAUAUUGGACAAUGGACCAAGAGUCUGAUCCAGCAAUUCUGUGUGCACGAUGAAGUUUUUCGGAAUGUAAAGUGCUUUCAGUUGGGAAGAAAAAAAUGACGGUACCAACAGAAGAAGUGACGGCUAAAUACGUGCCAGCAGCCGCGGUAAUACGUAUGUCACAAGCGUUAUCCGGAUUUAUUGGGCGUAAAGCGCGUCUAGGUGGUUAUAUAAGUCUGAUGUGAAAAUGCAGGGCUCAACUCUGUAUUGCGUUGGAAACUGCAUGACUAGAGUACUGGAGAGGUAAGCGGAACUACAAGUGUAGAGGUGAAAUUCGUAGAUAUUUGUAGGAAUGCCGAUGGGGAAGCCAGCUUACUGGACAGAUACUGACGCUAAAGCGCGAAAGCGUGGGUAGCAAACAGG